UACGGGGGGGGCAAGCGUUGUUCGGAAUUACUGGGUGUAAAGGGCUCGUAGGCGGCCAAUUAAGUCAGACGUGAAAUCCCUCGGCUUAACCGGGGAACUGCGUCUGAUACUGGAUGGCUUGAAUCCGGGAGAGGGAUGCGGAAUUCCAGGUGUAGCGGUGAAAUGCGUAGAUAUCUGGAGGAACACCGGUGGCGAAGGCGGCAUCCUGGACCGGCAUUGACGCUGAGGAGCGAAAGCCAGGGGAGCAAACGGG
This 253-nucleotide ribosomal RNA is filed under the name uncultured bacterium. RNAcentral's name for it is "partial 16S ribosomal RNA". It matches the Rfam family "Bacterial small subunit ribosomal RNA", at positions 524 to 776 of the family's 1533-position model. The record is from RNAcentral.